RNAcentral lists this transfer RNA (71 nucleotides) under Fasciola gigantica. Its description in RNAcentral is "tRNA-Arg". The stretch from base 8 to 67 matches the Rfam family "tRNA", at positions 7 to 64 of the family's 71-position model. From Rfam's summary of the family: Transfer RNA (tRNA) molecules are approximately 80 nucleotides in length. The record is from RNAcentral. Lineage: Eukaryota; Metazoa; Platyhelminthes; Trematoda; Plagiorchiida; Fasciolidae.
CCUAAUAGUGGCCUAAUGCAUAUGGUAUCUGACUUCGAAUCAGAAGACUGCAAGUUCGAAUCCUACCAGGG